AGCGAUCCGUACUUUUCGCGGAUUUUCGUUCCCGCUCAACAUACUUCCGGAAAUAGAAGUUGUUUGAGAAGAGCGUCAUAAAGAAAUAGAAGCAUUCGGCUAAUUUUAAAUCAGUGUACUAUCAGAGGAUUCUGAAACUGAUAUUUUAAGGGAAAAAAAUUUAUACAGUUGCUUUCAUCAAGGAAGGACCCCUAUUUUUGUUCCAAAUCGUGUUGGAGGAUUAAAUGUUUGUUGGGAUUAUUUGAUAGAAGUUCGUUUAGUAAACGAGGAAGUAUCCAACUGUAUUGGAUUUGACAGCAGCAACAUCACAAAAUAAUUCAAUCUCAGCUCUCUCUCAUGCACAGCCACCGUCAUCCAGUGCAUGUGGUCUGUCUGUCUGUCAGUAAGCUGUCUAUCACAUGCGGUCCAGGCUAUCCAGUCAGGCCUCAGGCACACACUCAAAGAAGCCUGGCUGUGCCUGAUGGAUUCCAAGUGCACGCCUCCCUCCGAAACUUUCCAUCGGCUUACACCGAGAUGCACUUCUGUCAGGAGAAAAUAAUGAGCAAUGCAAACUCGCUUGACCUCUGUGCACUGAGGAAGAUCUUCUCUGCCGACAUAUUUUGAAACCUCAUGAACUGGCCCUGCAUUAAUAUGGACAAAUUGCAAUACAACCCCUCUGAUCACAUGUCAUGUUUGUUGAGUAUUUCCACUGGUGUUGAUCUCCGAAGCCGUCGGAUAAAUAUUUCAGCAUCGCUCUUUUUCACCCAUCAUAAUAGUGAACUUAAUGCAAACCUUUGGUAGUGGGCAGCAAUCAGUCCUCGGCCAAAUGCAAUCAGACAGGUGCUUCAAAUGCAAUCAGGCUGAGAUGUUAGUCAUUAAAGUGCUAAUAAGUAUUCUUAUGUCCUGUAAGACCAGCGUAGGUAACAGUGCAGAUCUUUCUCCAGCCAUUAUAAUGCAAUCUAGACACUUUCCAUGCAAUUACUUUCAGAGGUACUGUGAAGCAUUAUUAUUUCUUAGCUGUGCAUAUGUCAAUUUUUUUCCGGCCAGGCUGAAUAUGGACACUGGCCAGCGUGCUAACGCUUCUGUACUUGGCCUUCCAUACGCUAAAUAAAUAAACAAGGUGAUGAUGAGCGCUGCAGGAGUGUGUGUGCUUCUCAUGAUGAUUCACCUAAAUAACAAGCAAAGGAAAGUGCAUUUGGCAAGCGUUUUAUAAUCAGAAAAGCAGAAAGUUACUGCAUCUCAAAGUGCACUCUAUUCCUUUGCAAGCUGCUUUGGCUUAUUGAGUUACUGCCCCCUGCUGCCCAGUGCAUACAUUGCAUAUUGUGUUAUUUGAAGUGCAGAUAUUGCACGUUAGAGCUAACCAAUUAUAUAGGCACAUUCAAAGGCCACUUACACCUCUCCAGUUUAUUACAUGGUUAGUGAAAUAAAGUGAUUUUGGAAACCAUGCAACAAGCUGUAUGUAUGCCUGAAAUCCUGCUGCAUGUCAGUACAGCUCUCUUUGUGAGAGUCAUUGCCAUUUGCUUUCCUGUCAUGGAUUUGGAGAUUUUCUAAGUGUGUGUUUCUCCAUCUCAGGUGAUGGUGGAUUAUUUGCACCCUAUGAUUAAAUGAAAAUCAGUGGUGUUUGAAGAUUUUCUUGGGUUUCUAAAGGAUGAAUGUGACCAGUCAUAACAAAUGUUGUACACCAAUAUAUAGUUGUACAUCAAUUAAUUAUAUGUCAAAAUGUCAAAAUAUUGGACGUGUACUUUUUGCCAAGUAAAAAAAAAAAAAAAAAA
Cyprinus carpio carpio is the source of this 1751-nucleotide long non-coding RNA. NCBI's taxonomy places the organism in Eukaryota, Metazoa, Chordata, Actinopteri, Cypriniformes, Cyprinidae. The record is from Ensembl.